Molecule: long non-coding RNA, 524 nt
Filed under: Oryza brachyantha (malo sina)
Lineage: Eukaryota; Viridiplantae; Streptophyta; Magnoliopsida; Poales; Poaceae
Description: long non-coding RNA (OBRA_LNC002585)
Source: RNAcentral
ACAGAGUACUUAGUUGGGCUGAAGUCUUGCUUCUUGUUAUUUGCUUCUUUACACGUACACACAUUCAUGUUACUUGGAGCCUUGGCUGCCUCUGCCUGCCUAUUUAUAGGCUGCCAAACCGACAUGGAGGAAGGUUCCUGAUACACUAAAUUUUCUAGUUUUUACUAGCCAGUACAAGCUACUACAAACUACUAGAUGAGUAGACAUGACUAAACUUAAUUUUACAGUGUUAGCAAUCUUUGACUUUUGUGCUUCAAGAAAGUAAGAGAGAGAUGGAGAUUUAGCUGGUGUUUUCUAGAAAUGAAUUAACUAACACUUCUGCCACGGCGGAUUCACCCACUCGGGGCACCUGGCGCACCUCAUGCCGGCGUGCUGCUCCACGCGCCCGAUCUUCCCGGCGAACUCGUUCUUGCAGGAGGGGCAGUAGACGAGGAUGGCCUCGGGCGCCAGUACAUCGGCGGCGGAGGCGGCUGGGCGGCCCGGGGCGGAGGCCCGCACGGGCGGUUCGUCGACGACGUCCCCAC